AGCUUUGUGCAGUGGCAGUAUCAUAGCCAAUGAGGUUUAACCAAGGUGCGAUUAUUGCUAAUUGAAAAUGUGUGGGAUGCAACCAAGGGGAAAUUUUAUAUCUCUAAGACCUACUUCCAUAAAAUAGA
Molecule: small nuclear RNA, 128 nt
Organism: Sarcophilus harrisii (Tasmanian devil)
Lineage: Eukaryota; Metazoa; Chordata; Mammalia; Dasyuromorphia; Dasyuridae
Gene: U4
Rfam family: U4 spliceosomal RNA
About the family: U4 small nuclear RNA (U4 snRNA) is a component of the major U2-dependent spliceosome. The structure of U4 snRNA from yeast and human has been reported.
Source: Ensembl